GGGCCGUUCCUCUCCUCCUUCCUCCUCUCCGGCGAUGAACCGUACAUAUUAAUAAUGUGUGGUGUCGGUUGUCGUCGGCAGCCAACCAGGAUUCUUCCUCCUCUCCCUCGUUCCUCGUCGCCACCCUCUCCCUCCUCGUGCUCGCCUCCAUCUUCUUCUUCUACUCCUUCGUCGCCUCUCUCGAGAAGUUCCUCACCUCCCGGCGCCCUGUCUCCGCCGGAUCUUCCUUCGUCGCGGCCGACGCGGGCGGAGCCGCGGUAAAAGCGCUUGAUGACAAGAUCUGGGGGAAGGAAACAGGGAGGCUUUAUGGGGAUCCGGCGGAUCCGUAGUCGGGGCUGUCGGUGGUUAGGGUUUAUGUGUACGAGAUGCCGGCCAAGUUCACCUACGAUCUUCUCUGGCUCUUCAGGAAUACCUAUAAGGAGAUGACGAAUUUGACGUCCAACGGAAGCCCCGUUCAUCGCCUCAUCGAACAGGUUCUUGCCGAUUCCCUCGCAGAAAGAUCGGACUAGUGCAUUCGCCGGAGGCGCGGAAACCCUGGGGAUCGAGGGAUUUCUUGGAGAAAAUGAUUUGAUUUCGAGACAUUUUGUGGUUGUUGAGAUUUGCUGGAGCUGAGUUCUUGCUGCGGAAACCCUCGAAAUUGAGACGUUUUGUGGAGGAAACGCUGUAGUUAUUGACGUACGACAAACCCUUGUUUGAGGUUAUUGCCACCAGAUGAGAGAAAAUAUACCUUCAGUGAUACUGUACUGUGAUAAACUAUACCACCAGGAAGCAUGAGGUUAGCUGUUGAUAGGACUUGCUUACUGCUGGCCUUUCCAAUUGCAUCUUUUUUUUGUGCUGGUUUUCUUUUUUCCUUUUGCUUUCCUUUUGGUGAAAAGGAAAUUUAAAGAGUUAAAUUUAAAGCUAGUGAAAAGCUUAGCAGCCUCUGUAAUCGUUGCAACUGUUUUUGAUUUGUCUGCAUUUGAUCUAAUGUUACCUGACACAGGAUCUCAUAA
Phoenix dactylifera (date palm) is the source of this 992-nucleotide non-coding RNA. The record is from RefSeq and is a predicted model, not a curated record. NCBI's taxonomy places the organism in Eukaryota, Viridiplantae, Streptophyta, Magnoliopsida, Arecales, Arecaceae.